GGGGCAAGUGAUGAUAAAAAGACAGGGACAUCAGAUUCUCUUAGGAGAAAUAGAAUGAUGAGUUAUUGUCUAAAUGGGAAUCUCUCUGAUGCACU
Molecule: small nucleolar RNA, 95 nt
Organism: Arabis alpina (gray rockcress)
Lineage: Eukaryota; Viridiplantae; Streptophyta; Magnoliopsida; Brassicales; Brassicaceae
Rfam family: Small nucleolar RNA R44/J54/Z268 family
About the family: R44, J54 and Z268 are members of the C/D class of snoRNA which contain the C (UGAUGA) and D (CUGA) box motifs. Most of the members of the box C/D family function in directing site-specific 2'-O-methylation of substrate RNAs.
Source: Rfam